This 3753-nucleotide unclassified non-coding RNA is filed under the name Leishmania donovani. Its description in RNAcentral is "gene:LdHU3.36.8000(CDS-product:mkiaa0324_protein-like_protein)". Lineage: Eukaryota; Euglenozoa; Kinetoplastea; Trypanosomatida; Trypanosomatidae. The record is from RNAcentral.
ACCUUUCUUCGAGGUCCUCCAUUUGCGGACUACCACGAACGCGCACGCGCACCCGUACACCAAAAAAACUUCAAAGAAAAGCGGAAGCCAACCACCAGCAACUGUGGAACAACCAAGCCUCAACGCACGAUGUUCUCGAGAUCGAUGCGGGCUUUGGUGAGCAAGCGGCCACCAUUUGCUAGCUUCUACAAGGCCGUUUACUCGCCCCUCAGAAACACGGAGCAGGCGCGAAAAAUGCAGACGGCUGCCGUCCUGUGGCACAGGACGGCACCGCAGUAUGGCAUCCGCUUCUCUGCACCCCGUGUUGCCGCGGCACUGCGAAUUUACCGCAGGAAAGGCAAGGAAAUCACCAAAGAACUGCAGAAGACUGCAAAGCCUGCGCGUAAGUGGAAGGCAGCACCGUCAAGGUCAAAGCUGGCGCGCGCCACGGCUCCGAAGCGCAAGGCGAUUCACUUGAAGCAGCGCCAGCAGAAAGGCAAGAAAGCCAUAACGCCCUUCGCCGCUUUCCAGACGGAGGUGAUGCGGCGCACCAAGUUCCCCUCCACAAGGGCGAACCUCAAGCGAGUGCUUCGCAUGUGGGUGAUGACAGGUCGGCAGCGCUCACUUUCUGUGCCGAAGCGUGUCGAGAUGGCUGUGCGGUUGCUGCAGAAGGACCGGAAACGCGGGAAGGGGUUUUCCAGGAAGAUGAGCAACAAGAUCACCAGGCGCCGCUCUAAGCGCGGCACCCGCAAGAUUGCAAAGAGCUCGGCAGCUGGAAGCAGCCGCAAGACAGCAAAGUCGAGGAAGCCGCGUGUCACAGCGACAGGGGCGAAAAGGGCACGGGCGGCUCGACCCUCCCGAAGCGCCGUGGCGCAAAGGCUGAAAAGGGCGCGGAGGAUGCGCGCCGUGCGUCAGGUGCCCAAGCGACCAGCUUCUGUGAAGGUGCGUCUUGCGCGCCACCUCGCUGCCAAACGGUCGGCACCGAAGCCGGUGGCUGCAAGCAAGCCGAAGGCGCGCACGAUGCACGCGGCUCGCAAGGCCACCGCCUCGAAGCGGCGGACUCGAAAGACGAGCAUCGCAGCCGUGGCAAAGCCAAGGCCGCGGCACACUCCCACUAAGAGGAGGGCUAGCGCAGCCCGUCGCCGCGCGAACCCCUACAUCAAGUUUUACCGUCACAUGCGCAUGACCGGGCUCAUUCCAAACCAUCCCAAGAUCCUGGGCACUCGCCAGAUCAAGGCGUUGUGGACAGAGACGCACUCCCUCAACGGCCUGAAUCGCCGCAUCGCGCGCGCGACGGAACUUCUCGAGGAGCGGACGGGGUUGAAGUCGAAGGUUAAUCCGCCUGCCGUGAGGACGUCGGCGCGCAAGCGCCAGAACCCCAAGCACGGUUCGCCGGGCCCCUCGCCAGCGCCGGCGGCACCCAAGACCUCGGAAUCCUUGACGAUCAAGCAGAGGGACAUCAAGGUGCCUCCGUAUUAUAGCAGCAACCCCUUUGGAGCCACCUACGCAGCGUUGCUUCCCCUGCUGCGUGACAUUCCGAGCUCGACGCGGAUGGCUCAUGUCGCCAAGGCCUGGACGCGCACCUCCGUGAAGGAUGACAAGCGCAGCGCAAAGGCCCGUAUUGCUGCCGUGGCAGAGGCGAUGAAGAAGUGAGGCAACUUUGUGUCGUGUGGUGGGGGGCAUGUUCGCGCACCCCUCAUAACGUCCUCUUUCUUUGAAGUCUAUGUCUUGCUGUGGCGCUUUUUUAUGUCUUCUUGCUCGAACCUCUUGUUUUACUCCUCUUUCAGCCAGGUGACGGUGCCUGUCCCCCGGUGUCUCGGUGCUGCAUGAUAGGUAUCGCGCUCAUGGCGAACUAUGCAUUUUGCGCCACCUGUCUAACCCCCUCACCCUUCCCUCGCUGCACUUCUCGUGUUCCAUGUCCAGUAGAAGGAAGGGGGUGGUGGUGCUGCGCGUCUGUCCUCAGUGGACGAUGUCGUGCGUGUUAUAGCGGGGCUCUUCUGGGUGCGUCUGGUUGGGUGGCCGGACGUCCACGCUCCCCCUCCUCUCUCCUUUCAAGGUUCGCUGACGCAUAGAGGGCCGCAUGCUUUUUUCUUUUGCUUCGUCUGGCUGUUCGUGGAGUGAUAAAAAAAAAAUCACGGACGUGCUUGCGGGAGAGAGAGCUCUGCGAGGAACACGCUCGGGUGAGUACGGUGUCUGCUCGUUUCCUUGGUGGUGGUGCUGGACAAUGUCGAUGAGGGGAGGCGAUUUCUCUGUACCUCUCUCUGUCUGUCUGUCUUCUCCGUCCUCUCUUGUCGAUUGUAUUAUUGGGCCUUUUAUGUGUCUUUGUGAGGUAGUCUCUCUCUUUUUCCCCCGAAGUCGACAUGUUUUUUUUUUUUUUUCCGUGCUUGCUAUAGAUAGAUCGCACCAGGUGAGCGCGGGCGCACGGCCCUCUUACGUGCUCUUCUCCGUCGACCCUCUUACCGUUGCUUUGCGCCACACCCCGAAGGGCCAAGAGCGGGCCGAAUUUUUUUUUUUCCCUGCUGGGCUCUCCCUGAAGGGGAGUUGGCGGGCUUUGCCCGAGCACGGACGGCACAUUGCGCAUCCUGCGGCCACGCCGUUCUUCUUUGAAUCUUUGCUCGCAUGCACUGGUGAGGCCGACGAAAGACACCCUCGCGUCUUCGCUACUCCCCUGAAGGCCCCCCCCCUCCCUCGUAGGGAACACGCGCACUGCCAGGGUCGCUCCUGUGACGCUUCCACGUGCAAGAUACUCCCACACAGCAGCACACGGCUUCUAAUGGCAAGUGCUUUGUCUCCGUGAGAGCGUGCGCCUGUUUUUCUCUGUGUCUCGAAUAAAGGGGCACAUAUCGCCCUGUGGGAUUAUGUGGCUUCAUAGAUUACUGGCCUGCGCCGCGUCCAAGUGCGAGACGUGCUUACAUGCGCACGUGCACGUACACGCGUAGAGACUGACAAAGCAAGUGGGAUGCACAGAAGUCGUGCGCGGGGUAGGCGUGGGGCGAUGAGGUGACAUCAGUGACUCGGCAUCGUGCGCAAGUCGUUCCGCUGCCUAUUCGUGUGAGUUUCUUGCCUCUCAUCCCCUCUUCCCCUCGCUCGUCCAACACACAAGGGGACAUGCGCGCGCAUUGCCGAAAGCGGGCCGCGCGUACCUAUCUCGAAUAGAUCUGUGUGUGCACGCGCACAAAUUCAGUGCCCCUCGUCUUCGUUUUUCUUUUUUUUUCCCUUUUCUACUUGUGCUUCCCACUCGAGCUAACACACACACACACACACACGCACGCACACACACAGACAAGAAAACGAAAAAGCGCUGUCCACAGGUACCCCGCCGCUCUUCCCCCCUCCAAGACCGAUUCUUCUCAGCCGCAGGGAGUGCUGAGGCGACAUGCGGCGGGGCUUGCGUGUACUCGCAAGCGUCUGUGUGAGGGCCGUUUUUUCUUCCUUUUGUCUGCGUGGGUACUCUUUUCUUUGUGUUCUCACCGUUCUCCUCAUGUCUCUAAAGUACGUCGUCGUGUUUCGUAGUAGUGUUCAUGAGUGGCGGGAAGCCCUCGCUCGCACCCACAUUUUACGUUUUCCCUCCCCCCUCCACACUCCAGAGUGUCUCUCUCUCUCUGUUGUGGCUUUUACCCUUGAGCGUCGUUGUGGUCAGGGACAUCACGAGGCUCUUCUUGCAGUCUACUCGUUUUUUUUUUGCUUGUGUGCUCGCGCGCGAGUGAGAAGGAUAAUGAAUGGGCUGCGAGUUGGCUUGCAGCAGAGCCGACACAGUAGUGGCGCGCACCGCAG